AUGACUACACUUUCAGGGAUCAUUUCUAUAGUUUGUUAAAAAUAGUUUUUAAAAGUAUAAAAUACAUGUG
Small nucleolar RNA from Rattus norvegicus (Norway rat), 70 nucleotides. Ensembl annotates it as small nucleolar RNA U3. The record is from Ensembl. Lineage: Eukaryota; Metazoa; Chordata; Mammalia; Rodentia; Muridae.